Molecule: long non-coding RNA, 1004 nt
Organism: Cynoglossus semilaevis (tongue sole)
Lineage: Eukaryota; Metazoa; Chordata; Actinopteri; Pleuronectiformes; Cynoglossidae
Exons: 3
Source: RefSeq, a predicted model, not a curated record
CCCCUCCUGCCACUAGAGGGCACUGUGCAAAACUGCACAACUUUGUUGUUUCUUGAGUUUGUUGCAGCAGUUAUUUGUAGCUAUUAACAACAAUUGUUUCUCUUUCUUUGUUCUAUGUGUGCGUGCUGCAGGAUUGGUGAUUGGGGGGUGUGUCGUAGUUUCUCACCUGAGCUCCAAACUCCGCGGUUUGUCCUUCGGUGACUCCCCUCCCUGGCAGACUAGACCGGACUGGAACUCUGGAGGUUUUAUGCAGUUCUGAUGUCAGGGGUUGUUUGAGAAGCAACACAGGAAUCUGUCUGCUGUCUUGACCACAUCGUCUGGCAGAAGAAGGCGACGGAGCUAUUACAGGACCUCGUCUGAGGGAAUCAUUGUCCUGAGAAUCUGAAACAACAAACAGAGGGGUUCGACACAAACAGCUAUUGUCUCGCUUGUGUUUUUUGGGUUGAGGAUAGAAAGGGGCGGAGGGAAAUCAAAGUGUGUGAUUGUGGAGUUUCUCCACGUCAGUGAUAAUAAGGAACGAUGGUGGGAGUGGGGAAGGAACAAAGAAGCGUGUCAUGAUGGGAGUCUGGAUUUAAAACCACAGUCAGUGAUAUUUGAGAGAGAGCAGCGUCUGAUAUUGUUUGUGUCUGCAGCAAAACGCACUAAUUGUAUCUGAGUUGGUGGAUCGUAUUGUAUGAACUGAGACUGAAACAGAAGAAAAUGAAUCAGUGUCUGGAGCAGAAAGGCCUCUUUCUCUGCUCAUAUAAAAUAUAUAGUAUAGUUAGCUUUCAAAGCCUGAGCCUGAAAUGACCCAAUCAGGCUUCCGUAGCAACAUAACUUCCAUGUAUAAGGAUAUAUCUAUCACAUUUUAAAUCAAGGUUUUCUAAAAUGUUUGGUUUUAAGGAAUCUAUAAAAAUAUAAAAGUUGUUUUAGAGAUAAUUAAUGAAACUUUAGGGAGCAAAUAUCCAAGAGAUGGGUAUUAAAAAAAAAAAAAAGACAAAAAUAAAACAUAAAUAAGAUGUAAG